This 345-nucleotide long non-coding RNA is filed under the name Equus caballus (horse). RNAcentral describes it as "lncRNA (ENSECAG00000048886.1)". Lineage: Eukaryota; Metazoa; Chordata; Mammalia; Perissodactyla; Equidae. The record is from RNAcentral.
GGAUAGAUAGGGGGUGUUGACGUGUUAUUCUCUUCUCCAGCUCCUCCUUCCGCUGGAGCUGACAGCCCCCAAGUGUUCAUUUUGUGAUUUGUUGCUGCGUCGACAGACCGCAACCAAACUACACAGGCAUUGCCCCUUUCUGUUCUUUGACAUCUGACUGGGGUGUUGGGACUUAGAAGUGAGCUGUGCGGGUCACCAGAGUAGGAUUAGAGUCAAAUAACAAACCCUAAAUUUGGAAAGAGAGCAGCUGCGUGAAGGCAAUUUGGGCAGAUUGACAGUCUGGAGUUGUCUGGAACGGAACCAGCAAUAUCUCCAAGAAAAUGCUGCAGAGAACAUUCUUGUAAA